RNAcentral lists this ribosomal RNA (425 nucleotides) under uncultured bacterium. RNAcentral describes it as "partial 16S ribosomal RNA". It matches the Rfam family "Bacterial small subunit ribosomal RNA", at positions 354 to 796 of the family's 1533-position model. The record is from RNAcentral.
GUGGGGAAUCUUGCGCAAUGGGCGAAAGCCUGACGCAGCCAUGCCGCGUGAAUGAUGAAGGUCUUAGGAUUGUAAAAUUCUUUCACCGGGGACGAUAAUGACGGUACCCGGAGAAGAAGCCCCGGCUAACUUCGUGCCAGCAGCCGCGGUAAUACGAAGGGGGCUAGCGUUGCUCGGAAUUACUGGGCGUAAAGGGCGCGUAGGCGGACAGUUUAGUCAGAGGUGAAAGCCCAGGGCUCAACCUUGGAAUUGCCUUUGAUACUGGAUGUCUUGAGUACGGGAGAGGUGAGUGGAACUCCGAGUGUAGAGGUGAAAUUCGUAGAUAUUCGGAAGAACACCAGUGGCGAAGGCGACUCACUGGCCCGUUACUGACGCUGAGGCGCGAAAGCGUGGGGAGCAAACAGGAUUAGAUACCCGAGUAGUCC